CUAAUACAUUGCAAGCCGAGCGGUAGAUUACUUUCGGGUACUUGAGAGCGGCGUACGGGUGCGGGAACACGUGUGCAACCUGCCUUUAUCAGGGGGUAUAGCCUUUCGAAAGGAAGAUUAAUACCCCAUAAUAUAUUAUUCGGCAUCGGGUGAUAUUGAAAACUACGCGUGGAUAGAGAUGGGCACGCGCAAGAUUAGCUAGUUGGUGAGGUAACGGCUCACCAAGGCGACGAUCUUUAGGGGGCCUGAGAGGGUGAUCCCCCACACUGGUACUGAGACACGGACCAGACUCCUACGGGAGGCACCAGUGAGGAAUAUUGGACAAUGGGUGGAAGCCUGAUCCAGCCAUCCCGCGUGCAUGAAAACGGCCCUAUGGGUUGUAAACUGCUUUUAUCUGGGGAUAAACCUACUUACUUGUAAGUAGCUGAAGGUACCAGAAGAAUAAGCACCGGCUAACUCCGUGCCAGCAGCCGCGGUAAUACGGAGGGUGCAAGCGUUAUCCGGAUUUAUUGGGUUUAAAGGGUCCGUACGCGGACUGAUAAGUCAGUGGUGAAAUCCGACAGCUUA
Molecule: ribosomal RNA, 567 nt
Filed under: Elizabethkingia anophelis
Lineage: Bacteria; Pseudomonadati; Bacteroidota; Flavobacteriia; Flavobacteriales; Weeksellaceae
Description: bacterial SSU rRNA
Rfam family: Bacterial small subunit ribosomal RNA
Source: RNAcentral